RNAcentral lists this ribosomal RNA (775 nucleotides) under uncultured Glomeromycotina. Its description in RNAcentral is "SSU rRNA". It matches the Rfam family "Eukaryotic small subunit ribosomal RNA", at positions 328 to 1102 of the family's 1831-position model. Lineage: Eukaryota; Fungi; Glomeromycota. The record is from RNAcentral.
CUGNGAUAGAGGCCUACCAUGGUGGUAACGGGUAACGGGGUGUUAGGGCACGACACCGGAGAGGGAGCCUGAGAAACGGCUACCACAUCCAAGGAUGGCAGCAGGCGCGCAAAUUACCCAAUCCCGACACGGGGAGGUAGUGACAAUAAAUAACAAUACGGGGUUCUUUAGGAUCUCGUAAUUGGAAUGAGUACAAUUUAAAUCUCUUAACGAGGAACAAUUGGAGGGCAAGUCUGGUGCCAGCAGCCGCGGUAAUUCCAGCUCCAAUAGCGUAUAUUAAAGUUGUUGCAGUUAAAAAGCUCGUAGUUGAAUUUCGGGGUUAGUAGGUUGGUCAUGCCUCUGGUAUGUACUGGUCUCACUGAUUCCUCCUUCCUGAUGAGCCGUAAUGCCAUUAAUUUGGUGUUGCGGGGAAUUUGGACUGUUACUUUGAAAAAAUUAGAGUGUUUAAAGCAAGCUAACGCUUGAAUACAUUAGCAUGGAAUAAUGAAAUAGGACGUUCGAUCCUAUUUUGUUGGUUUCUAGGAUUGACGUAAUGAUUAAUAGGGAUAGUUGGGGGCAUUAGUAUUCAAUUGUCAGAGGUGAAAUUCUUGGAUUUAUUGAAGACUAACUACUGCGAAAGCAUUUGCCAAGGAUGUUUUCAUUAAUCAAGAACGAAAGUUAAGGGGUUCGAAGACGAUCAGAUACCGUCGUAGUCUUAACCAUAAACUAUGCCGACUAAGGGAUCGGAUGANGUUAAUUUUNUAAUGACUCAUUCGGCGCCUUACGGGAAACAGGU